This 936-nucleotide ribosomal RNA is filed under the name uncultured delta proteobacterium. RNAcentral describes it as "bacterial SSU rRNA". It matches the Rfam family "Bacterial small subunit ribosomal RNA", at positions 8 to 916 of the family's 1533-position model. Lineage: Bacteria; Deltaproteobacteria. The record is from RNAcentral.
AGAGUUUGAUCCUGGCUCAGAAUGAACUCUGGGAAUUGACGGAAGGGUGAAUUCUGCACAUAUCCUCUUUCUGUUGGGAAGGAUAGUGAAGUGGCGCACGGGUGAGUAACACGUGGGUAAUCUACCUUUAAAUUUGGGAUAACUCUGCGAAAGCGGGGCUAAAACCGGAUAAUAUCUCAAAACCCUCGGUUUUUGAGAUCAAAAGUGGCCUCUACAUGUAAGCUACUGUUUGGAGAUGAGCCCGCGUACCAUUAGCUUGUUGGUAGGGUAAUGGCCUACCAAGGCAACGAUGGUUAGCUGGUCUGAGAGGAUGAUCAGCCACACUGGAACUGACACACGGUCCAGACUCCUACGGGAGGCAGCAGUGAGGAAUUUUGCGCAAUGGGGGAAACCCUGACGCAGCAACGCCGCGUGAGUGAUGAAGGCCUUCGGGUCGUAAAGCUCUGUCAAGUGGGAAGAACCUGAAAAAUGCUAAUAUCAUUUUUCACUGACGGUACCACUAAAGGAAGCACCGGCUAACUCCGUGCCAGCAGCCGCGGUAAUACGGAGGGUGCAAGCGUUAUUCGGAAUUAUUGGGCGUAAAGGGCGCGUAGGCGGCCUCUUAAGUCAGAUGUGAAAGCCCGGGGCUUAACCCCGGAAGUGCAUUUGAAACUAAGGGGCUUGAGUAUGGGAGAGGGAAGUGGAAUUCCUGGUGUAGCGGUGAAAUGCAUAGAUAUCAGGAGGAACACCGGUGGCGAAGGCGACUUCCUGGACCAAUACUGACGCUGAGGCGCGAAGGCGUGGGUAGCAAACAGGAUUAGAUACCCUUGUAGUCCACGCAGUCAACGGUGAACACUAGGUGUACCCGGUAUUGACCCCCGCUGUCCCCCAGCAGUGUCAUGGAAUUUUCCCCUAGGGGAGGAUCCUGGCACGGUAUAAACUCAAAGGAAUUGACGG